CAGAAUCCCGUGAACCAUCGAGUCUUUGAACGCAAGUUGCGCCCGAAGCCAUCCGGCCGAGGGCACGUCUGCCUGGGCAU
RNAcentral lists this ribosomal RNA (80 nucleotides) under Zelkova sicula. RNAcentral's name for it is "partial 5.8S ribosomal RNA". Lineage: Eukaryota; Viridiplantae; Streptophyta; Magnoliopsida; Rosales; Ulmaceae. The record is from RNAcentral.